UGAAGAAGGCCUUCGGGUUGUAAAACACUUUUGUCCGGAAAGAAAACCUUUGCACUAAUACUGUGAGGGGAUGACGGUACCGGAAGAAUAAGCACCGGCUAACUGCGUGCCAGCAGCCGCGGUAAUACGUAGGGUGCGAGCGUUAAUCGGAAUUACUGGGCGUAAAGCGUGCGCAGGCGGUUCGUUAAGACAGAUGUGAAAUCCCCGGGCUUAACCUGGGAACUGCAUUUGUGACUGGCGAGCUAGAGUAUGGCAGAGGGGGGUAGAAUUCCACGUGUAGCAGUGAAAUGCGUAGAGAUGUGGAGGAAUACCGAUGGCGAAGGCAGCCCCCUGGGCCAAUACUGACGCUCAUGCACGAAAGCGUGGGGAGCAAACAGGAUUAGAUACCCUGGUAGUCCACGCCCUAAACGAUGUCAACUAGUUGUUGGGCCUUCAUUGACUUAGUAACGUAGCUAACGCGUGAAGUUGACCGCCAGGGGAGUACGGUCGCAAGAUUAAAACUCAAAUGAAUUGACGGA
This 518-nucleotide ribosomal RNA is filed under the name uncultured bacterium. RNAcentral describes it as "bacterial SSU rRNA". It matches the Rfam family "Bacterial small subunit ribosomal RNA", at positions 406 to 917 of the family's 1533-position model. The record is from RNAcentral.